RNAcentral lists this ribosomal RNA (373 nucleotides) under uncultured Mycena. Its description in RNAcentral is "eukaryotic LSU rRNA". The stretch from base 1 to 122 matches the Rfam family "5.8S ribosomal RNA", at positions 33 to 154 of the family's 154-position model. Lineage: Eukaryota; Fungi; Basidiomycota; Agaricomycetes; Agaricales; Tricholomataceae. The record is from RNAcentral.
UCGAUGAAGAACGCAGCGAAAUGCGAUAAGUAAUGUGAAUUGCAGAAUUCAGUGAAUCAUCGAAUCUUUGAACGCACCUUGCGCCCUUUGGUAUUCCGAAGGGCAUGCCUGUUUGAGUGUCAUUAAUUAUCAACCUUGCUCGCUUUACUAGCUUGAGUUUGGCUUGGAUGUGAGGGCUUUGCUGGCUUCCUUCAGUGGAUGGUCUGCUCCCUUUAAAUGCAUUAGUGGGAUCUCUUGUGGACCGUCACUUGGUGUGAUAAUUAUCUAUGCCUUGAGACUUUGAAGCAAACUAAUGGGAACCUGCUUAUAACCGUCUUCGGACAAUCUCUGACAUUUUGACCUCAAAUCAGGUAGGACUACCCGCUGAACUUAA